AUUGAACGCUGGCGGCGUGCUUAACACAUGCAAGUCGAGCGGCAGCGGGCCCGCAAGGGUGCCGGCGAGCGGCGGACGGGUGAGCAAUACAUAGGAAUCUGCCUCAGAGCGGGGGAUAGCCAGGGGAAACCCUGAUUAAUACCGCAUGACGUCGAGAGACCAAAGUGGGGGAUCGUAAGACCUCACACUCUGAGAUGAGCCUAUGUCGGAUUAGCUAGUUGGCGGGGUAACGGCCCACCAAGGCGACGAUCCGUAGCUGGUCUGAGAGGACGAUCAGCCACACCGGAACUGAGACACGGUCCGGACUCCUACGGGAGGCAGCAGUGGGGAAUAUUGGACAAUGGGCGAAAGCCUGAUCCAGCGACGCCGCGUGGGUGAAGAAGGCCUCGGGUUGUAAAGCCCUUUAAGCCGGGACGAAAAAGCUGCACCUAACACGUGCGGCCUUGACGGUACCGGAGGAAUAAGCACCGGCUAACUCUGUGCCAGCAGCCGCGGUAAUACAGAGGGUGCGAGCGUUAAUCGGAUUUACUGGGCGUAAAGCGUGUGUAGGUGGCUUCCUAAGUCGGUUGUGAAAUCCCUGGGCUCAACCUGGGAAUUGCAGUCGAUACUGGGAAGCUCGAGUUCGGUAGAGGACGGCGGAAUUCCCGGUGUAGCGGUGAAAUGCGUAGAUAUCGGGAGGAACAUCGAUGGCGAAAGCAACCGUCUGGGCCUGAACUGACACUGAGACACGAAAAGCGUGGGGGAGCAAAAC
This 751-nucleotide ribosomal RNA is filed under the name uncultured bacterium. RNAcentral describes it as "bacterial SSU rRNA". It matches the Rfam family "Bacterial small subunit ribosomal RNA", at positions 28 to 774 of the family's 1533-position model. The record is from RNAcentral.